GGAAGGAUCAUUAACAAAAAAUCCCAAAAAAACAUUACGCAAGUACUGUCUUUUUUGAGUAAUUUUUUUACUUUUACGAAAAACUUGGGAAUCGUUUUUAAACAUUUCUUGAAAAAGAAAAUACUUUGACAAAAAAAACAAAAAACAAACCUAAUAAUCUAUAAUCUCGAAAACUCGAUACAAAGGAUGACUAGGUUCCAUGUUGGAUGAAGAGCGCAGUAAAGUGCGAUAAGUGGUGUGACAUACAAAACUAUGAAUCAUCAAAAUCUUGAAUGCAAAUGGCAGAAAUGUGAAACAUUUCUAAGAAGGAAAGAGAGAAGACAAAAAAAACUUACAAAUGAGAUUUGAAUUCGAAGAGAAUUCAUGUCUUAAAAAUCAGAGUAGGACAUUGGGACAGGAAGAAAGGGGAAAAAAGAGGGGCUCUUGAGUGGGCAAAGAAGGAAGUAAUUGCGAAAAUGGCUGGUACAGCUCUUGCAGGCAUCUCUGUUGCACAAUGGAGACUCGGUGUGUGUGCUUUUCUCGAAAUCAGGAUAAAAAAUAUCGUCUUUUUUACUUGCACAGCAGAGAGAAGUGAGAAACCUGGGUCUUGCAAACAGAGGUGAAGCGAGAGAGUGGAACGCUGUAAAAAAAGCAGAUACUUUAAUUUCUUCUCUUUGUGUCCUUUUUUUGCUGGUCAAUGUCUGUUGAAAAAAAACAUUUCUCGUCCUCUUUACCUUCUUCGUUACGGGGUGAAUUUAAACAUAUUAUUAACCCCAGGAAAAGAAAUCAAAUGAGAUUCCGCUAGUAGUGGCGAACGAAGACGGAAAAGGUCAAAGGAAAAGGGCGUGCUUGUGUAAUCGAGUACUCCGAUGCACCUUUUGAGCAAGAGGCUGGUGGGGACGCAAGGCUUGCAAAGUCCAAUGGAAAUUGGCGCCAAUGAAGGUGAAAGCCCUGUAGCUGGGCCUUGCGUUUCACGGAUCUCCUUUUGCUUUCGAGUCGCGUACUUUGGGAAUAGUGCGUAAAAUGGGAGGUAAAUUUCUUCCAAACCUAAAUAUGACAUGGAGACCGAUAGCGGAGAAGUACUGCGAAGGAAAGUUGAAAAGAAUUGUGAGAACAAAGUUAAAAGUACCUGAAAUUGUAUCGAGGGAACAAUUUGGCGGUUGUGAGUGUGGCGGCGCGCGGUUUACUGCGUGUUGUCAGAUAAGGGGGAGGAGGACGUGAGGAAAAAGGCUGGGAAUGGUGGAACGAAGAUUCGUUCUGAUACAACCUGGUUUCAAACUGCACGGCCUCUACCAGGAAAAGUGCGGAUUUCAAAUGGGGCGCUGGAGUUUCUUUUGGGGCUCGGGUUGGGGGACAAGAAAUUGUGCCUUGAUCAUGGGUUUCACACAGGGGCUUCAACCACCAAGGUCCGCAUGCUCUUAUAAUAUGUCUCACACGUUAAAUAUCCCGUCUUGAAACACGGAUCAAGGAGUGCAUCAGAGUUGAGAGUAUUUUGGUGGAAAAACCAAUAAUGCGCAAUGAAAGUAAAUACGAUAGAAGGGGUGCAGAGCCCUGGCAUAUUGUGCCGGUCCGAAUUUUUUUGAAGGAUCUGAGCGAAAUUAAUUCUGAUACAACCCGAAAGAUGAUGAUCUUAACACGACGAGGAUGAAGCCUGGUGAAAAUCAGGUGGAGGUCCGACGGGCGUUCUAACGUGCAAAUUGAUGCUCACAGUUGUGUUAAGGGGCGAAAUACUCAUCGAAUCAUUUAGUUGCUGGUUUUCUU
RNAcentral lists this unclassified non-coding RNA (1740 nucleotides) under uncultured fungus. RNAcentral describes it as "sequence contains 18S rRNA gene, ITS1, 5.8S rRNA gene, ITS2, 28S rRNA gene". The stretch from base 702 to 1740 matches the Rfam family "Eukaryotic large subunit ribosomal RNA", at positions 1 to 961 of the family's 3401-position model. The record is from RNAcentral. Lineage: Eukaryota; Fungi.